This 1394-nucleotide ribosomal RNA is filed under the name uncultured bacterium. Its description in RNAcentral is "bacterial SSU rRNA". It matches the Rfam family "Bacterial small subunit ribosomal RNA". The record is from RNAcentral.
AGAGUUUGAUCCUGGCUCAGGAUGAACGCUGGCGGCGUGCCUAACACAUGCAAGUCGAACGGGCGCGGCGUGCGGCAGGGGCCUCGGCCCCUGCGGCGCCGCGCGAGUGGCGGACGGGUGAGUAACGCGUGGGCAACCUGCCCUGUACUGGGGGAUAACACCUGGAAACAGGUGCUAAUACCGCAUAAGCGCGCAGUGCCGCAUGGCGCGGCGCGGAAAACCCCGGUGGUACAGGAUGGGCCCGCGUCUGAUUAGCUUGUUGGCAGGGUAACGGCCUACCAAGGCGACGAUCAGUUGCCGGCCUGAGAGGGUGGACGGCCACACUGGGACUGAGACACGGCCCAAACUCCUACGGGAGGCAGCAGUGGGGAAUAUUGCACAAUGGGGGAAACCCUGAUGCAGCGACGCCGCGUGGGUGAAGAAGUACUUCGGUACGUAAAGCCCUAUCAGCAGGGAAGAAAAUGACUGUACCUGAUUAAGAAGCCCCGGCUAACUACGUGCCAGCAGCCGCGGUAAUACGUAGGGGGCAAGCGUUAUCCGGAUUUACUGGGUGUAAAGGGAGCGUAGACGGCAUUGCAAGUCCGGAGUGAAAGCCCACGGCCCAACCGUGGGACUGCACUGGAAACUGCCGGGCUGGAGUGUCGGAGGGGCAGGCGGAAUUCCCUAGUGUAGCGGUGAAAUGGGUAGAUAUUAGGAGGAACCCCGGUGGGCGAAGCGGGCCUGCUUGGACGACGACUGACGCUGAAGCUCGAAAGCGUGGGGAGCAAACAGGAUUAGAUACCUUGGUAGUCCACCGCCGUAAACGAUGAUUACCAGGUGUCGGCGGCCACGCCCCGCCGGUGCCGCGCAAACGCAGUAAGUAUUCCGCCUGGGGAGUACGUUCGCAAGAAUGAAACUCAAAGGAAUUGACGGGGACCCGCACAAGCGGUGGAGCAUGUGGUUUAAUUUGAAGCAACGCGAAGAACCUUACCAGGCCUUGACAUCCUGAUGGCCGGGCAUGCAAUGUGCCCUCCCUUCGGGGCAUCAGUGACAGGUGGUGCAUGGUUGUCGUCAGCUCGUGUCGUGAGAUGUUGGGUUAAGUCCCGCAACGAGCGCAACCCCUGUCCACAGUAGCCAGCGCCACGGGCGGGCACUCUGUGGAGACUGCCGGGGACAACCCGGAGGAAGGCGGGGACGACGUCAAAUCAUCAUGCCCCUUAUGGCCUGGGCUACACACGUGCUACAAUGGCGCAGACAGAGGGAUGCGAUGCCGCGAGGCGGAGCGGACCCCAGAAAUGGCGCCCCAGUUCGGACUGCAGCCUGCAACCCGGCUGCACGAAGCCGGAAUCGCUAGUAAUCGCGGAUCAGAAUGCCGCGGUGAAUACGUUCCCGGGUCUUGCACUCACCGCCCGUCA